This is a long non-coding RNA of Calidris pugnax (ruff), 1186 nucleotides long. RefSeq lists it as uncharacterized. The transcript has 2 exons. The record is from RefSeq and is a predicted model, not a curated record. Lineage: Eukaryota; Metazoa; Chordata; Aves; Charadriiformes; Scolopacidae.
UUUGUUUGCAUAUUUUCUGAAUAAUGGAAUUCAAAACUGAAUUCUCUGCUCUGGUGUAACGUUUACGUUCAGAGGCAGUGGAUUAACUACUGACACUUAGAGAAAAGAAACUCCACCCUGUAACAUUAUCUGAUAUUUCCCAACAUUUUUAUGUUUAUGUUAAAAUUCUUCAAAAGCUUCCAAAUUCUUGUCUUGCUCCUUCUUGUCAAUUACUGACAUUUUUGUGUUUGCAUAUUUGAGUUCUACCCUAAAUACUUCAAAUAUUUCGAAAGUGAGUGUUUUUCAAACAGGAAUUGUUGCUACAUUACAUGUUGGAGUUUUACACUGGUCAUUGUAUGUGUGUUUCUGGGCUUCAGUAAAACCCAUCUUCCAAAGGAUUAGAGCUAUAUCUAGACAGAUUCUGUAAAAACUGCCUUGGAAGGCCCUGUCUUAUUUUACUUUCCUUCCUUGGCUUCUUUCUGAGAUGAUGCUGUUUACUUCACACUGUUACUUAGUCUUGAAAUCUCAUUUGCUUUUAUAUUUAGUGUUCUUAUAAAUUCAGGGUCAGGCUUUUCUAAUAAACAAUAUAAAAUUUGCUGCAUACUAAUCACAGCUAACACUAAUUCACAGUAACUUCAAUCUGUUGUGUCAGUCCUUGUCACACGUGAGAUUAUUUCUGUUUUAGUAAGGAAGGGUGCCUUAUCUUGCUGACUGAUAUAAUUCUAAUUGCUGUUUCACCGAUAACUGAUGAUAAUGGACAAUAAGGUACAUGUUUUCAUCUUUAAAUAUUAUUCAAGUUAAACAGGAUUGCACGUGCUUGGGAGGAAAGGUUUAGCAUUCAAAGUAGGAAAAAUAAUCCAAAAUCAAGAAAAUGAAAGUAAUUGAUUAUUACUGCUGCUUUCGCCUGAGCAUAUUGAAUAUACUACUUUUAUGUCUUUCAGGAAAUUGCAAGUGAAAUAGACAGAAUAUGUGAGAUGGGAGAGGUGAUGAGAAAAGCUAUCCAAGUUGAUGAUGAUGAGUUCUUCAAAGUUCAGGAGAAAUUAGCUCAGUUGGAGCUUGAAAACAAAGAGCUGCGUGAACUAUUGUCAAUCAGCAAGGAAUCUUUUGAGGUGGGAAGAGAAGAUCUGCCCGACUGUGAAGCUUAGGCCACAAAAUAACCUUAUCUCCAAAUCUCGACUUCAGAGACUAUUAUGAAAUUACCCUACAA